CGAACGGGUGAGUAAUAUAUCGGAACGUGCCCAGUAGUGGGGGAUAACUGCUCGAAAGAGCAGCUAAUACCGCAUACGACCUGAGGGUGAAAGGGGGGGAUCGCAAGACCUCUCGCUAUUGGAGCGGCCGAUAUCAGAUUAGCUAGUUGGUAGGGUAAAGGCCUACCAAGGCAACGAUCUGUAGUUGGUCUGAGAGGACGACCAGCCACACUGGGACUGAGACACGGCCCAG
RNAcentral lists this ribosomal RNA (232 nucleotides) under uncultured bacterium. RNAcentral describes it as "partial 16S ribosomal RNA". It matches the Rfam family "Bacterial small subunit ribosomal RNA", at positions 99 to 334 of the family's 1533-position model. The record is from RNAcentral.